Molecule: ribosomal RNA, 460 nt
Filed under: uncultured bacterium
Lineage: Bacteria
Description: partial 16S ribosomal RNA
Rfam family: Bacterial small subunit ribosomal RNA
Source: RNAcentral
CCUACGGGAGGCAGCAGUGAGGAAUAUUGGUCAAUGGGCGCGAGCCUGAACCAGCCAAGUAGCGUGAAGGAUGAAUGCCCUACGGGUUGUAAACUUCUUUUAUAAAGGAAUAAAGUGAGGCACGUGUGCCUUUUUGUAUGUACUUUAUGAAUAAGGACCGGCUAACUCCGUGCCAGCAGCCGCGGUAAUACGGAGGAGCCGAGCGUUAUCCGGAUUUAUUGGGUUUAAAGGGAGCGUAGAUGGGUUGUUACGUCAGUUGUGAAAGUUUGCGGCUCAACCGUAACAGUGCAAUUGAUACUGGCAGCCUUGAGUACAGUAGAGGUAGGCGGAAUUCGUGGUGUAGCGGUGAAAUGCUUAGAUAUCACGAAGAACUCCGAUUGCGAAGGCAGCCUACUAAACUGCCACUGACACUGAGGCUCGAAAGUGUGGGUAUCAAACAGGAUUAGAUACCCGGGUAGUC